Molecule: ribosomal RNA, 407 nt
Filed under: uncultured bacterium
Lineage: Bacteria
Also listed under: 1 other name
Description: bacterial SSU rRNA
Rfam family: Bacterial small subunit ribosomal RNA
Source: RNAcentral
UGGGGAAUAUUGGGCAAUGGAGGAAACUCUGACCCAGCAACGCCGCGUGAAUGAUGAAGGUCUUCGGAUUGUAAAGUUCUUUUCUAAGGGAAGAAGAAAGUGACGGUACCUUAGGAAUAAGCCUCGGCUAACUACGUGCCAGCAGCCGCGGUAAUACGUAGGAGGCAAGCGUUAUCCGGAAUGACUGGGCGUAAAGGGUGCGUAGGUGGUUCAGCAAGUUAGUAGCGUAACUCCGGAGCUCAACUUCGGCACUACUACUAAAACUGUUGGACUUGAGUGCAGGAGGGGCAACUGGAAUUCCUAGUGUAGCGGUGGAAUGCGUAGAUAUUAGGAAGAACACCGGUGGCGAAGGCGAGUUGCUGGACUGUAACUGACACUGAGGCACGAAAGCGUGGGGAGCAAACAGG